CCUACGGGAGGCAGCAGUGAGGAAUAUUGGUCAAUGGGCUAAGGCCUGAACCAGCCAAGUAGCGUGAAGGAUGACUGCCCUAUGGGUUGUAAACUUCUUUUAUAUGGGAAUAAAACAGGGUAUGCAUACCCUCUUGUAUGUACCAUAUGAAUAAGGAUCGGCUAACUCCGUGCCAGCAGCCGCGGUAAUACGGAGGAUCCGAGCGUUAUCCGGGGUUAUUGGGUUUAAAGGGAUCGUAGGUGGAUUGUUAAGUCAGUUGUUAAAGUUUGCGGCUCAAACGUAAAAUUGCAGUUGAAACUGGCAGUCUUGAGUACAGUAGAGGUGGGCGGAAUUCGUGGUGUAGCGGUGAAAUGCUUAGAUAUCACGAAGAACUCCGAUUGCGAAGGCAGCUCACUGGACUGCAACUGACACUGAUGCUCGAAAGUGUGGGUAUCAAACAGGAUUAGAUACCCGAGUAGUC
RNAcentral lists this ribosomal RNA (460 nucleotides) under uncultured bacterium. RNAcentral's name for it is "partial 16S ribosomal RNA". It matches the Rfam family "Bacterial small subunit ribosomal RNA", at positions 338 to 795 of the family's 1533-position model. The record is from RNAcentral.